This 471-nucleotide ribosomal RNA is filed under the name uncultured organism. Its description in RNAcentral is "partial 16S ribosomal RNA". It matches the Rfam family "Bacterial small subunit ribosomal RNA", at positions 335 to 797 of the family's 1533-position model. The record is from RNAcentral.
ACUCCUACGGGAGGCAGCAGUGGGGAAUAUUGCACAAUGGGCGCAAGCCUGAUGCAGCCAUCCCGCGUGUAUGAAGAAGGCCUUCGGGUUGUAAAGUACUUUCAGCGGGGAGGAAGGCAAUACGGUUAAUAACCGUGUUGAUUGACGUUACCCGCAGAAGAAGCACCGGCUAACCCCGUGCCAGCAGCCGCGGUAAUACGGAGGGUGCAAGCGUUAAUCGGAAUUACUGGGUGUAAAGCGCACGCAGGCGGUCUGUCAAGUCGGAUGUGAAAUCCCCGGGCUCAACCUGGGAACUGCAUUCGAAACUGGCAGGCUUGAGUCUUGUAGAGGGGGGUAGAAUUCCAGGUGUAGCGGUGAAAUGCGUAGAGAUCUGGAGGAAUACCGGUGGCGAAGGCGGCCCCCUGGACAAAGACUGACGCUCAGGUGCGAAAGCGUGGGGAGCAAACAGGAUUAGAUACCCCGGUAGUCCCA